Molecule: small nucleolar RNA, 149 nt
Organism: Brugia malayi
Lineage: Eukaryota; Metazoa; Nematoda; Chromadorea; Rhabditida; Onchocercidae
Source: RefSeq, a predicted model, not a curated record
AAGCAAGAAUGCGAAUCUGGAAGACGUAAAGUCUAAAGUAUUUAAACUUUACGUUUUCUUCCCGUUAUUUUCGCUAAAGGAUUAGGCGAGAUGCGUGUGCAGCGCUUGUCAUAAUAAUGGCGUUGUUCCUUAUUUUACUUGCUACAUAU